AUUAAACGCUGGCGGCAUGCCUUACACAUGCAAGUCGAACGGCAGCACGGGGCAACCUGGCGACGAGUGGCGAACGGGUGAGUAAAGCAUCGGAACGUGCCCUGGAAUGGGGGAUAACGUAGCGAAAGUUACGCUAAUACCGCAUAUACUGUGAGCAGGAAAGCAGGGGAUCGCAAGACCUUGCGUUCGAGGAGCGGCCGAUGUCGGAUUAGCUAGUUGGUGGGGUAAAGGCCUACCAAGGCGACGAUCCGUAGCGGGUCUGAGAGGAUGAUCCGCCACACUGGGACUGAGGCACGGUCCAGACUCCUACGGGAGGCAGCAGUGGGGAAUUUUGGACAAUGGGCGCAAGCCUGAUCCAGCCAUGCCGCGUGAGUGAAGAAGGCCUUCGGGUUGUAAAGCUCUUUCGGUUGGGAAGAAAUUGCUUCGGAUAAUACCCGGAGUAGAUGACGGUACCAGCAUAAGAAGCACCGGCUAACUACGUG
RNAcentral lists this ribosomal RNA (482 nucleotides) under uncultured bacterium. RNAcentral's name for it is "bacterial SSU rRNA". It matches the Rfam family "Bacterial small subunit ribosomal RNA", at positions 29 to 507 of the family's 1533-position model. The record is from RNAcentral.